RNAcentral lists this ribosomal RNA (144 nucleotides) under uncultured bacterium. RNAcentral describes it as "partial 16S ribosomal RNA". It matches the Rfam family "Bacterial small subunit ribosomal RNA", at positions 385 to 523 of the family's 1533-position model. The record is from RNAcentral.
GAUGGAGCACGCCGCGUGAGUGAGAAGGUCUUCGGAUCGUAAAACUCUGUUGUUAGAGAAGAACACGAGUGAGAGUAACUGUUCAUUCGAUGACGGUAUCUAACCAGCAAGUCACGGCUAACUACGUGCCAGCAGCCGCGGUAA